This 254-nucleotide long non-coding RNA is filed under the name Phoenix dactylifera (date palm). RNAcentral describes it as "long non-coding RNA (PDAC_LNC005736)". Lineage: Eukaryota; Viridiplantae; Streptophyta; Magnoliopsida; Arecales; Arecaceae. The record is from RNAcentral.
AUUUUAGGAUCAAAAGAAGUCAUGCUCAUAUGUUUCUCAUGAUCAAUGAGCUUCGUUUGGUAGAACAGUCACUGAUAUUCUUUAUACAUUCUUGCACGACUUUAUGUAUCUAUCACUUAUUAACUUAUCAUCUUAUUAUAAAAUUAACUUAUUAUGAAUAGUCAAAUUAUGUUUUCAUAAGUAAGAUUUAAUCGUUAAUUUUGCAUUCUAUCCAAAUAAUUUAUAUACAAAUGCUGGUACAAGAUGGACAUUGG